Callithrix jacchus (white-tufted-ear marmoset) is the source of this 4906-nucleotide long non-coding RNA. NCBI's taxonomy places the organism in Eukaryota, Metazoa, Chordata, Mammalia, Primates, Cebidae. The record is from Ensembl.
UAUUUUUGCCUGUCGCUUAUCAUCUGGUUGAGCCGGUGAUGGGGUCCUGGCCCAUGCGUAUUACCAGAGGGCACUCAGGAGCCCCAGAUGGUGAGUGAACACUGAGCUGGGCAGCACAGACACAGGACGCUGCCUCCAUCGCAGAACGUUCUCCUAGACGGCACUGUUCCAGAUCCCGAUGGGUUCGUGUCAGAAAAUCCAAGGCUGCUCUACCCGCCUGCUCUGGUCCCCCUCUCUCUGCCACCCCACUUCCCACCCCCACCCCCUGGGCCCAGGGCCUUCGUCUUGGCCCAGGGAACAUCAGUUCAAGUGCUGUGGAAGCAACAGCUCAGCGACCGGCAGCACAGUGCGUACCUGCUGCCUCGGGAGGCAGGAGACCCCAGUGCCCGACAGCUGCUGCAAGGCGGUGGUGGCACUCCGCAGCCAGCCAGCCCCCCCUCCAACAUCUGCAAGGGUGGGGACUUGCACAAGUGCCCAAGUACAAGCUGGGGACGAGGAGAGGGCCCCAGCCUGGCUCCAGGAGCCCGAAAAGGGCCGCGUGAGGCAGAUGGGUGUGGGAAAAGCAGAGCACACAUGCUCCUUGGCCAUGAAUCCACAGUGCCAGGCCUUCAGAGGCUCUACAAAGUCCUGGGACAAGCAGCUCCUACCGCAAGAGUCCAGGGCACUACAGCAUGUUCCUGGGGCCACUCACGAAACCUGUGAGCCAUUCAAGGCCCGGUCCAUCCCAUGAGUCCUCUGGUCCAUUUUCUGCCUAUGCCACAUACAGCACGACAGCCAGCCCUUCCUCCCCACCUGUGCCUGCUCCUGGGCCAAAGCCAUGUCACCUGCCCUUCCCUUCCAGGGAUGCUGCCUCACCAAGCUACCCGCUACUCAUGGCAGUGGGCAUCGGGGUGGCCUGCCUGCGGGUGAGUCGCAGUUGGGGGACUAAGAGGAAGGUAUGUGGAAGGGCUCUGAGCCCCUCUCCAGUGGCCAAGAUCUCCAGUAACUGGGCUGAAAUAACUGGCCCUUGGCAUGUCCGUGCACUGCCCUGCUCUCUUCUCUUCCCUUCCCUUUGCAACCAAGGCUGAACCCCACACUCAGUCUGUUCUCCCAGAGAACAUGAAGGAAGGUGCCUGAGGGUCAACAUGAACUCCUAAGGCACAGGGGCGUGGGAGGAGUGUGGUUGUGGGCUGGGGCACAUGCACCUCGAGCGUGUGCGUGUGGGGGUGAGUGUGCCGGUCUGCCGUGGUGUGUGGGGGUCCAUGGGGCUUGGCGUGCUCCUGGGUCUAUAUGGUUGGGGUGGUAUGCACGAUGUGUGUUUAGGAUGUUGUGCAUGUGUGAGUGUGUAUCUGCACUCAUUCCUUUGUGUGUUUGUGUACGUGUGUGUGCAUGUGUUUGUGUGUGUGUGUGUGUCAUCAGCCCUCCAUAUCCAUGGGUUCUAUAUCCUUGAAUUCAACCGACCAUGGAUCAAAAAUACUCAAAAAAAAAAUGGAUACACUGAACACCCUUGUCAUCACCCCCUAAACAAUAAGCAUAACCACUAUUCACAUGGCGUGUGGGUUAGGUAUCACAAGUAAUCUAGGGAUGAUUUAGAGACACGGGAGGAUGUGAAGAGGUUAGAUGCAAAUACUGCUCCCUUUUAUAUCAGAGACUUGAGCGUCAGUGGAUUUUGGAAUCCAGAACAACUCUGUGUGUGUGUAUGUGUGUGUGUGUGUAUGUGUGUAUGUCUAUGUGUGUAUGUAUGUGUGUAUGCACAUGUGUGUAUGUAUAUGUGUGUAUAUGUAUAUGUAGGUGUUUGUGUGUGUAUGUGUGUGUGUGUUUAUGUGUGUAUGUGUGUGUAUAUGUAUGUGUAUAUGUAUGUGUGUAUGUAUAUGUGUGUGUAUAUGUAUGUGUCUCUGUGUCUGUGUGUGUGUGUGUGUGUGUGCAAGCACACACAUUCCCCUUAUAUAUGCAGCUCUCUCCCUGAGGAUGGGCAAGGGCAUUGGCUCCCAUUUCUCCCCUUCCACCCAGUCCCCCAGCUGCCAUGCAAGAGUCAAGGUCACUCUCUCCCGCUGCUCUAGUCAAGGGUCUAGAAUCUGCAGAGCGAGAGCCCUUCAGGUUUGGGCUGUUCUUCUAGAAGGAGCACAGCAGCCCUGCUGUCCUGCCCAGCCCUUCCCCGUCCAGGUCUGUGAGCACCAGCUAGGGAAGAGGAAGAGUCACGCUUAGGCCCCAGAAGACCCAAGUCCAGUCCUGGCUCUGCUCCUGUGUGACCUGCAGCUACUAACCUCCCCGUCAUUCACCCCUUCGUCUGCAAAAUGUGCAUCAUUUCUUCAACCUCCCAAGGUCUAAAUAAGAAUGAGGUGAUUCCUGUGACCCACUUGCAGCGCCCGACACGCAGGAAAGCCUGCUAAGCCUUUAUCCAGCUGUCUGUAGACUUCAGAGGACUUCCGAUACAUACACUCAUUGUGUCCACACAACAACUGAGACCCAGGCCAGACGAGGAGUAGCGAUCUCCUCACUCUACAGAUCCGAAAGUUGAGACCAAGGGAGGCAUGUUACCCAGGGUCUCACCCCCUGAACUAGCACCCAGGUCUCCUGGCAUUGGCCCUUCGCUUUCUCGAACUCCCUACCCUGGCACAGAGGUCUUGGGAAAGAGAUGCAGGGGACUGUGGCUUUGGCUGGCUUGGAGAACCUUCCAGCACAGGGUCUGUUCAGAUGAUGGGGCCAGCUACCCACAUCAUCUGUGGGCCUGGAGGGGGCAGUGGCAGCCUCACGCCCUCGGAGGAGGGUCCCUAGCCUUUGGAGGGACACUCAUCUUGGUUCUGCCACCUGCAAGUUGUGUGACCUAGGGCCAGUUAUUUCAUCUCUGAGCCUCAGUCACUGGUUUGUGAAAUGGGGCUGACAAGACCUCAUCUGGUGGCCGGGGUGGGAAUUAGCAACACAAUCAUCUCUGCAAGGGCACACUUUCUAAAAAAAAAAAAAAAAAAAAGCCCCAGGUGCUCCCUGGCCAGACCAGCCUGCUCCCCUUCAUCCUCACUCACGUGCAGGGCCAGGGAACCCAGGAGGCGUUAGCAUUGCCCCUCUGGUGUGCCUCCCCAGGCCAGGUCUCCUGUCCUAUGUGCUGAACCCCAGAGAGCCACCACUGGGUGCUGGGGUAGGGCUGCUCUGUGCCGCUGCGCCAGGCUCAGCUGAGGUUUCCAGAAACCUGUGACUCCCGGUGCAGAGGGGGCCUGCUUUGUAUGGACACUGGCCAAGCCUGCGUCACUCUAUUUCUUCCUGACCUCUCUGGCUCCGAGAGCCCAUAGAAGCUGCAGACGAGGGCAGUGAGGCGGAGGGCAAGCAGUGGGGCUGCAGAUGCCCUGAGCCUAAGGUCCUGGUGGAUGGAGCUGUUGUGUAAGUCUGAUGCAGAGGAAGCCAGGUCGUUGGGCAGUGGACACUUCCCCCCAUCCCCGGUUCACAACCCCCACCAUGCUGUCUCUGUUCCUUCAUGGUCACCGUGGAAUGGUUUCUGGUGGCGCUCAACCCCUUGCCCUAUUUUCUCCCCGUGGUCCACUGAGCCAGCCCAGCCGCUGCCAAGCCUCGAGUUAGAGCUCCCUCUGGCUGCCAAUGCUGGGCACUACACUGCCCAAGUCCCAGGUGGGUCAAAGGCUUGAGAAAGGGCUGGUGGUCAUCCUUGCCAGCAGGCAGACACCAGGCACCUACCUCCCUCACAUUCCCAGCCUGGUACUUCGAAGACCGGUAGCCUUGAGCUACCCUUAGGGUUUCCAGUAGUUUCAAAACCGUCUAGCUCACCUUUCAGGAAACUUCCAAGAUUAACGUUCCGAUUUUUCAGUGAGGUUCUCACCUCUGUGAUCAGUUGCCUUGAGAUCAAUGUCCUGCACCAUUCUGGCAUGUUAACUCCAGAUGGCUUGUGAACCACAGGAUGGUUUGUGAACACUGAAAACUGAGCAGAAUUUCAGCCAGGUAUUUGGCAAGACGUCGUUUGCUGCCUUGUGGACAUGCGGGCCAGGGUCUUACACGCUUAGGGGAAAUCACGGCAGGCUGGAGGACCACACUGCAGAAGGGAAAUCAGAGGGCUAACGUCGGCUUGGAGAAAGGUUCCAGGAGUGGCUGUGGCCUUCAGACUGAGACCUGUUGCUCCACGUUUUCCCUGGCGAUGGAUGAAACCCAGGAAGCAUGCUGAUCAACCCUGAUAAUUGUUGCCCCAUCUGCAGAAAUGGCUGAGCUGUGGAGUGAUAAAGCCAGCAUUGAAAAAACAGCCUGGUGGAUGGGAAGAGCCUGCUGAAGCAAAGGGUGAAACAUUUUAGCAGAGUGAAAGUCCUUACAUAUAAGCUUUGUCUUCUUUUGCAUUUAAGCCCAUCACAGAGGGAGGGCACCUACCUGAGUUAGACAGUAGGGUGCUGCCCACAGAGAUAGGGCCUGGAACUUCAUUGACAGAAAUCACGGACAGAGCCAGGGUGUGGGAGGUGCCAGCUCAGGCCACCUCUAGGUGGGAUCAGGCCUCCACAGAGUCACCUGCAUAUUGGGAUCACCCAGCAAGCUUUAAAACCACCCCAGACCCAGGCACGCCCCAGCACAACGCAAUAAAAUGGUCUGGGGCAUCGACGUGUUUGUAAAGCUCUCCAGUGAUUCCACUGUGCAGCCAUGUCCUGCGUGUGUCAAGGGGCACGUGGAACCUGGAAGUCAGAUACGGCAGAGGUCAGGAGAUGGGGCGCAGACAGCGUCCACACCGUCUUGGAAUGCCCAAGGCAGUCAUUUAUGGGGUGCAGGGGAGUUUUCCUGAGGUUCCAGAGGAUGGAACAGGAGCAGCCGGUGGAAUUUACAAGGAGGCACGUUCUAGAAGUUUUAACAGUUAAAAUUGUUCCACAGCGGCCCUUACAGAGCAUUAAGCCUUCUGUGGCUGCUUGUUGGGGCAGAGGCUGGGCACCAGCAAGGAGGCUGUAGGGAG